GAUGAACGCUGGCGGCGUGCCUAAUACAUGCAAGUCGAGCGAACAGACGAGGAGCUUGCUCCUCUGACGUUAGCGGCGGACGGGUGAGUAACACGUGGAUAACCUACCUAUAAGACUGGGAUAACUUCGGGAAACCGGAGCUAAUACCGGAUAACAUGUUGAACCGCAUGGUUCAACAGUGAAAGACGGUCUUGCUGUCACUUAUAGAUGGAUCCGCGCCGCAUUAGCUAGUUGGUAAGGUAACGGCUUACCAAGGCAACGAUGCGUAGCCGACGUGAGAGGGUGGUCGGCCACCCUGGAGCUGAGACACGGUCCAGAGUCCUACGGGAGGCAGCAGUAGGGAAUCUUACGCAAUGGGCGAAAGCCUGACGGAGCAACGGCGCGUGAGUGAAGAAGGUCUUCGGAUCGUAAAACUCUGUUAUUAGGGAAGAACAAAUGUGUAAGUAACUAUGCACGUAUUGACGGUACCUAAUCAGAAAGCCACGGCUAACUACGUG
Molecule: ribosomal RNA, 497 nt
Filed under: uncultured bacterium
Lineage: Bacteria
Description: partial 16S ribosomal RNA
Rfam family: Bacterial small subunit ribosomal RNA
Source: RNAcentral